GGGAGAGGAAGAACUGCUCUCUUGAGAGAAAAAGACAAAGAAAUUAGAGAAGUGAAAGUGUGUUGCAGACUGCUGCUGAAUGAAGCCCAGGUUUUGUGAAGAAAGCAUGUACCUGGGACUGAAAGUGGAACUCCUUCUCUGAAAGCCCUCAUCCUCCACCAUGGACAA
Silurus meridionalis is the source of this 168-nucleotide long non-coding RNA. RefSeq lists it as uncharacterized. The transcript is spliced from 2 exons. The record is from RefSeq and is a predicted model, not a curated record. Lineage: Eukaryota; Metazoa; Chordata; Actinopteri; Siluriformes; Siluridae.